ACGAACGCUGGCGGCGUGCCUCAUACAUGCAAGUCGAGCGCUAUAAGCCCGGGCAACUGGGUCUGUAGAGCGGCAGACGGGUGCGUAACACGUGGAUAACCUACCUGAAAGUUGGGGAUAAGCCCUCGAAAGGGGGUCUAAUACCGAAUGACACCUAAAGAAGGCAUCUUCUUUGGAUCAAAGCUGGCCUCUGCUUGCAAGCUAGCGCUACCAGAUGGGUCCGCGUCCGAUUAGCUAGUUGGCGGGAUAACAGCCCACCAAGGCUACGAUCGGUAGCCGACCUGAGAGGGUGUACGGCCACACUGGGACUGAGAUACGGCCCAGACUCCUACGGGAGGCAGCAGUAGGGAAUAUUGGACAAUGGAGGAAACUCUGAUCCAGCAACGCCGCGUGGAGGAUGAAGUCUUUCGGGAUGUAAACUCCUGUCAGAGGGGACGAAACUUUUGCGACCUAAUACGUCGCAGAAUCGACGGUACCCUCAGAGGAAGCACCGGCUAACUCCGUGCCAGCAGCCGCGGUAAUACGGGGGGUGCAAGCGUUGUUCGGAAUCACUGGGUGUAAAGGGCAGGUAGGCGGGCCGAUAAGUUGGAUGUGAAAACCCUGUGGCUUAACCCAGGGCUGGCAUCUGAAACUAUUGGUCUUGAGUACGGGAGAGGGAGAUGGAAUUCCUGGUGUAACGGUGAAAUGUGUAGAUAUCAGGAGGAACACCGGUGGCGAAGGCGGUCUCCUGGGCCGCUACUGACGCUGAGCUGCGAAAGCUAGGGAGCAAACAGGGAUUUAGAUACCCCCGGGUAGUCCCUAGCCCGUAAACGUUGGGUCCACUUAGGUGUUGAGCCCCUUAAUAAGGGCCCCAGUGCCCGCAGCUAACGCAAUUAAGUGACCCCACCUGGGGACUACGGCCGCAAGGUUGAAACUCAAAGGAAUUGACGGGGGCCCGCACAAGCGGUGGAGUAUGUGGUUCAAUUCGACGCAACGCGAAGAACCUUACCUGGGUUUGACAUCCCCGACGAAAGCCCCAAGAGAUUGGGUCCUCUCGCAAGAGACGUCGGGACAGGUGCUGCAUGGCUGUCGUCAGCUCGUGCCCGUGAGGUGUUGGGUUAAGUCCCGCAACGAGCGCAACCCCUGUUUCUAGUUGCCCUCUAGCCGUAAGGCUGGAGCACUCUAGGAAGACUGCCAGUUAUAAGCUGGAGGAAGGCGGGGAUGACGUCAAGUCCUCAUGGCCCUUAUGUCCAGGGCUACACACGUACUACAAUGGCCGGUACAACAGGAUGCCAAGCCGCGAGGUGGAGCCAAUCCCCAAAACCGGCCUCAGUUCAGAUUGCAGUCUGCAAUUCGACUGCAUGAAGGAGGAAUCGCUAGUAAUCGCGGAUCAGCAGGUCGCGGUGAAUACGUUCCCGGGCCUUGUACACACCGCCCGUCAAGCCAUGGAAGCCGGGAGUACCCAAAGUCGUCUGUCUAACCCCGACUCGUCGGGGAGUUACGGCGCCUAAGGUAAGUUCGGUGACUGGGGCUAA
Molecule: ribosomal RNA, 1514 nt
Filed under: uncultured bacterium
Lineage: Bacteria
Description: bacterial SSU rRNA
Rfam family: Bacterial small subunit ribosomal RNA
Source: RNAcentral